GCACCCGUAGCUCAACUGGAUAGAGCAUCGGUCUACGGAACCGAAGGUUAUAGGUUCGAAUCCUAUCGGGUGUA
This 74-nucleotide transfer RNA is filed under the name Tuwongella immobilis. RNAcentral's name for it is "Planctomycetes bacterium MBLW1 tRNA". It matches the Rfam family "tRNA". Rfam says of the family: Transfer RNA (tRNA) molecules are approximately 80 nucleotides in length. Their secondary structure includes four short double-helical elements and three loops (D, anti-codon, and T loops). RNAcentral also lists the same sequence under 1 other name. The record is from Rfam by way of RNAcentral. Lineage: Bacteria; Pseudomonadati; Planctomycetota; Planctomycetia; Gemmatales; Gemmataceae.